AUUGAACGCUGGCGGCAGGCCUAACACAUGCAAGUCGGGCGGUAACAGGAAUCAGCUUGCUGAUUCGCUGACGAGCGGCGGACGGGUGAGUAAUGUCUGGGAAACUGCCUGAUGGAGGGGGAUAACUACUGGAAACCGUAGCUAAUACCGCAUAACGUCUACGCACCAAAGUGGGGGAACUUCGGGCCUCAUGCCAGCAGAUGUGCCCGGAUGGGAUUAGCUAGUAGGUGGGGUAACGGCUCACCUAGGCGACGAUCCCUAGCUGGUCUGAGAGGAUGACCAGCCACACUGGAACUGAGACACGGUCCAGACUCCUACGGGAGGCAGCAGUGGGGAAUAUUGCACAAUGGGCGCAAGCCUGAUGCAGCCAUGCCGCGUGUAUGAAGAAGGCCUUCGGGUUGUAAAGUACUUUCAGCGGGGAGGAAGGUGUUGUGGUUAAUAACCGCAGCAAUUGACGUUACCCGCAGAAGAAGCACCGGCUAACUCCGUGCCAGCAGCCGCAGUAA
RNAcentral lists this ribosomal RNA (506 nucleotides) under uncultured bacterium. Its description in RNAcentral is "partial 16S ribosomal RNA". It matches the Rfam family "Bacterial small subunit ribosomal RNA", at positions 30 to 523 of the family's 1533-position model. The record is from RNAcentral.